CCUACGGGAGGCUGCAGUGAGGAAUAUUGGUCAAUGGUCGGGAGACUGAACCAGCCAAGCCGCGUGCGGGAUGAAGGUACAGAGUAUUGUAAACCUCUUUUGUCAGGGAACAAAGGCGGGGACGUGUCCCCGGAUGAGUGUAUCUGAAGAAAAAGCAUCGGCUAACUCCGUGCCAGCAGCCGCGGUAAUACGGAGGAUGCGAGCGUUAUCCGGAUUUAUUGGGUUUAAAGGGUGCGGAGGCGGUCUGUUAAGUCAGCGGUAAAAGCCCGGGGCUCAACCCCGGCACGCCGUUGAAACUGGCAGUCUCGAGUUGGAGAGAGGUAUGCGGAAUGCGCGGUGUAGCGGUGAAAUGCAUAGAGAUCGCGCAGAACUCCGAUUGCGAAGGCAGCAUGCCGGCUCCACACUGACGCUGAGGCACGAAAGCGUGGGUAUCGAACAGGAUUAGAUACCCGAGUAGUC
RNAcentral lists this ribosomal RNA (459 nucleotides) under uncultured bacterium. RNAcentral's name for it is "partial 16S ribosomal RNA". It matches the Rfam family "Bacterial small subunit ribosomal RNA", at positions 338 to 795 of the family's 1533-position model. The record is from RNAcentral.